Mucor ambiguus is the source of this 82-nucleotide transfer RNA. It matches the Rfam family "tRNA". Rfam says of the family: Transfer RNA (tRNA) molecules are approximately 80 nucleotides in length. Their secondary structure includes four short double-helical elements and three loops (D, anti-codon, and T loops). NCBI's taxonomy places the organism in Eukaryota, Fungi, Mucoromycota, Mucoromycetes, Mucorales, Mucoraceae. The record is from Rfam.
GUCGCUUUGUCCGAGUGGUUAAGGAGUUGGAUUCGAAACCCAAUGGUCUUUGACCGCGCAGGUUCAAAUCCUGCAGGCGACG